GCAGUGGUGGUUCAGUGGUAGAAUUCUAGCCUUUCAUGCCAGAGACCCAGAUUUAAUUCCUGGCCACUGCA
Non-coding RNA from Trichechus manatus latirostris (Florida manatee), 71 nucleotides. The record is from the annotation of a RefSeq genome assembly. Lineage: Eukaryota; Metazoa; Chordata; Mammalia; Sirenia; Trichechidae.